RNAcentral lists this microRNA precursor (67 nucleotides) under Bombyx mori (domestic silkworm). RNAcentral describes it as "mir-2774 microRNA precursor family". It matches the Rfam family "mir-2774 microRNA precursor family". Lineage: Eukaryota; Metazoa; Arthropoda; Insecta; Lepidoptera; Bombycidae. The record is from Rfam by way of RNAcentral.
AAAACAUUUGGACCGUCGGUCUACUGAGCAAUAACACACGCUCGGUGGAAGAUCUUCCCUUUGUGAU